RNAcentral lists this ribosomal RNA (253 nucleotides) under uncultured bacterium. RNAcentral's name for it is "partial 16S ribosomal RNA". It matches the Rfam family "Bacterial small subunit ribosomal RNA", at positions 524 to 776 of the family's 1533-position model. The record is from RNAcentral.
UACGAAGGGUGCAAACGUUGCUCGGAAUUAUUGGGCGUAAAGCGCACGUAGGCGGCUUGGCAAGUCGGAUGUGAAAUACCUCGGCUCAACCGAGGAACUGCGUCCGAUACUGCUUGGCUUGAGGUCCGGAGGGGAGAGUGGAAUUCCCGGUGGAGCGGUGAAAUGCGUAGAGAUCGGGAAGAACGCCGGCGGCGAAAGCGACUCUCUGGUCGGAAUCUGACGCUGAGGUGCGAAAGCUAGGGGAGCAAACGGG